AUAUUUUGAAUUAAGUAUAUUCAUAAAAUGUUAUCAGACGAAUGUUGUUAAAGAUAUAGGUUGAUAUUUGUGAAGGGAAAGAGUUGCCUCUCUCCCAACAAACAUUGCACACAAGGUGGAUAUGGAUUUUUAAAGAGUGCCAUAAAACACUCAUUGUGAAUGAUCCUUCCGCAGGUUCACCUACGGAAA
This 189-nucleotide unclassified non-coding RNA is filed under the name uncultured fungus. RNAcentral describes it as "sequence contains ITS1, 5.8S rRNA gene". Lineage: Eukaryota; Fungi. The record is from RNAcentral.